RNAcentral lists this ribosomal RNA (444 nucleotides) under uncultured bacterium. RNAcentral's name for it is "bacterial SSU rRNA". It matches the Rfam family "Bacterial small subunit ribosomal RNA", at positions 331 to 792 of the family's 1533-position model. The record is from RNAcentral.
CCAGACUCCUACGGGAGGCAGCAGUGGGGAAUAUUGCACAAUGGGGGAAACCCUGAUGCAGCGACGCCGCGUGAGCGAUGAAGUAUUUCGGUAUGUAAAGCUCUAUCAGCAGGGAAGAAAAUGACGGUACCUGACUAAGAAGCCCCGGCUAACUACGUGCCAGCAGCCGCGGUAAUACGUAGGGGGCGAGCGUUAUCCGGAUUCACUGGGUGUAAAGGGAGCGUAGACGGUUAUGCAAGUCUGAAGUGAAAGCCCAAGGCUCAACCAUGGGACUGCUUUGGAAACUGUAAAACUGGAGUGCAGGAGAGGUAAGCGGAAUUCCUAGUGUAGCGGUGAAAUGCGUAGAUAUACGGAGGAACACCAGUGGCGAAGACGGCCUGCUGGACAUUAACUGACGCUGAGGCGCGAAAGCGUGGGGAGCAAACAGGAUUAGAUACCCGAGUA